RNAcentral lists this non-coding RNA (26 nucleotides) under Mus musculus (house mouse). The record is from RNAcentral. Lineage: Eukaryota; Metazoa; Chordata; Mammalia; Rodentia; Muridae.
UGCAGUCACAACUGUGAUUUCUCUCA